Long non-coding RNA from Lolium rigidum, 171 nucleotides. RefSeq lists it as uncharacterized. Lineage: Eukaryota; Viridiplantae; Streptophyta; Magnoliopsida; Poales; Poaceae. The transcript has 3 exons. The record is from RefSeq and is a predicted model, not a curated record.
GAUGCGGCGGCAAGUAUCGUACAACUAGGACAACUGGCUCUUAUGAUGACAAUGGAAAUGCCACUGCAGUACAUGAUUCAAGAGAAAAGAGAAAAGUGAAGAACAUGAUGAGUUGAUGGCAAAGAAAUCCAGGUUGGCAUACACCCGAAAAAGAUGGAAAUUAGGCAGGAC